Molecule: long non-coding RNA, 4221 nt
Organism: Grus americana (Whooping crane)
Lineage: Eukaryota; Metazoa; Chordata; Aves; Gruiformes; Gruidae
Exons: 4
Source: RefSeq, a predicted model, not a curated record
UAUUAACCCGUCCACCGUAAUAACCACUUUUCAAAACUGUUUAUACCUCUGCUUUACACAACAUUCUGCAACAAGAAGAUGAGGCAUCUGUGUACAGCUUUGGACAGCCCAGCAGUCACGAAAGAUCUUUUCAAGUGAGAAUAGCUGCAGAGCUGCCCUACUACUUGAUCAUGGGAAAGGAAAAGCCAGAAGAGGGGGAGAGAAGCAGGAGGAAUACUUUGAGCAUGUCAUCUGGUUCAGAAUGUGCACUGAAAUGUGUGUGGAUCCUGAAGGUUUUAUGCUACUUCACAAGAAAUAUUGAGAAGGUACCUAAAUAUCUGGAUGCAUAGGAGAAAUCUUCACCAUGUGGAAAACAUCCCCAUGGCAUAUGAAAGGAUAUUCUCACAGAAAAUUUCACCAGUUCCACACAUUUCCUCAUAAGAAAAAGUGAUUGGUCUCAAUGUUUACAAAAUCAUUUUUCAUGUAUUUGUGAAAUCAAUGUGUGAGUAAUAUUUCACUGCAGCUAGGACAAAGUUCAUAAGUAGACCAACAAGUGUUAUGCUUCAUUAGAUCAAGUACAGAUGAAAAAUUUUGACAAGAUUUCAGACACAAUUCAUAUUUCAAACUCAGAAAAAGAACGUGAAGAAGGACUUCUGUAACCAAAGUUUUGCUUUUCUUUUUUUUCCUCUAUUAUGUUAAGUACUUGUAUACAAGAUGUUAUUGCUAUUUACAAAAUCUUUCUGUGUUUUGUCUUUGAGUGAGACAACUUGUGUAAGUACUUCAUAAUGAAAAUCUCUUAAUCACUUCAUUGAGGGAGAAAAUAAUAAUAAUUUACAUCAUGUAUUGCUGCUACAAAGUUAAAUGCAGUUUAAAGAAAUGAAUCUUAAUAAUUUUGUCAAUAAAAUUUUCUUUAUGAUCACCACUCUUCACUCUUCUAAGAAACUAAGCAGAAAAGAGAAAUCACAUAUUAGUGCCUUAGUAGAUAAAUAGAAUAUUUACUUAUUUCACCUUCUUAUUCCAGGGUCCUUUAUGAUAACUGCCUAAAAACCAAUCUGUCAUUUAAGAAAAAGGAAAUAAAUAAUUUUAUAGAAAGUUAUAUUUCAGUACCUUACAGUUUUCCCUCCCUACUUUUGUUUUUAUUAUUAUUAUUUGUACAUAGAUAGCAUUUUGGUAUUUUAUAUACAUAACACAACUUUGUAUAAACAUUACACAACUUUAUAUAUGUUACAUAACUUUGUACAAAGUUGACUUAAGUAUGACUUGUGUCAAAGUUGUGUACAGAAAUGUUCAGGGAGAAUUUUUUGCAGUUUCAUUCCAUUUUCUGAAACCCAGUAGACAACAGUAUGUCAGCAGCUGAAGAUACAGCUGUAACUAUACUGAGAUUCUUGCUUAUGUGGUUAUGUUAGCAUCAAUGAUAAAAAACCUGACAUUUUUAGUGGUAAAACUUUUACAUUUAUUGGUGUACUAGCCCUUAUUGAAUUUCAUAAUGUAAAUAAAUAUUUUUAGAUCUGGUUGAGAGCAGCCCUGCUCUUCUCCCAUGUGUAUUUACAUUAUUCAAUGGUGAUGGGUUAGGGUGCUUAGUGCCUAAUAGCAUUGAAUCCAAAAGCUCUGUGGCAGUUACAGCUCUUUGAGGUGAGCAAGGUUCCUUUCUAAUCUGCAAUGUAUAGGACUGGUGAACAGAAAACUGAGCACAAAAUAGGUAUGGUAUGUUUGAGAAAGCGUGGAGAGAUCCAACAGGCUGCAGCUUAUUAGUAUUCUCUUCAGGCAACCAAAGGUCAGCUGAACUCAGCAUAGCCAGGCACACAUCAUAGCCUGGGCUAUGGGAUUCAGAUCUUCCCCCAAAUGAACAAAAACUUCCAUAAUUCUCUUGAAGAAGUACUGCAAGUGGGGCACAAAAUACCGUCACUAAAUCCAGUUCCUAAAUAACUUAGUGGGAAGCAAAACUGAGACAAUACUCUAUGUGUCCUACAGGAUCUAUCUCCCCCAACAAGCAGGCAUUUCCUCUACAGUGUAAGGUAACUCGCAGAUUUCCCUUCUAGCAAACAGCAGCGUCUCCAGAAAUUGUCCACAAGGAAAACAUCCUCCGUCUCUGACAGUUAGUGUCUCAUCACUGAAAUAACUGGAACUACACUGACCUGCAACAGUUAAAGGUUUUGCCACUUAUGUCUGACACAAAAUAAUGCACAGAUGUGUGUAGCUCUCUUACUGACUUAUGAAACGCAUACUUUUACAUUUUACAUUCACACAGCAAAAGAAACUUUUUGUAAAUUCCUUCUAUUUUAAUCAGGCUGCCUCACUAAGGAGUAGCAAGGGACACGUUUCUCUCCGCAGGAAAAAGCCCAGCAGUAACAUUCCCACUGAUUUCAAAGCCAUGUGAAUGUAGAAGCUGUGGUGCUGUUCAACAGUUGUAAAGGUUUAAUGCCAGCCCAGUCAAUGGACUUCUGCUAGCAUGAAACUGAUGUUGCACAAAGAAGAAUGAGACAAACAUGGUCGUGUGUAAAUAAUAACAGAUCUAUAGGAUGAAUACUAGAAAGAUCAAAAAUCAGACAAGGGUCCUCGACCCUACAACUGGAGCUGCAGAAUGGAAUUAUGUUUGGUCAUAGCUGCUUCAGGUGUGAGGGUCCUGCAUGAACAGAUCCUUCAUCAAUACUCACAGAGCUAAAAACCACCAUCUGACACACUAGUAUUCACAUGACUGAACGAUUAAAAGUGGAUCAGUCAGUUGGGAUAACAGAAAUAAUGAAACCGCUGCAGAACUUCUGUCCUCUGCUUUGGAAAUAAAUGUCUUGUUUUCUCCUCUGUCAGUCCCAAGAGGUGAGUGUCUUGCUUUGCUAGCACUUGUCUAUUUCCAUGCUGACUGAGUACUCGUACAAUUCCCUUAAUAACAAUCAGAGAAUUUAAGUUGCUGAUAAACAAGUUCCCUAAUGCCAUAUUUUUUUCAUAGCUUCUGAGGAAGUCCUUUAUAUGAUGGAGAUAAACAAUUAACAAUAAUUAUCUGAAAUAUCAGGAUACCUCCAUGUUUUUAGAAAGUUACACAAAUGAAUGCCUUACAUUGCUUCAGGGGGUUCUUAAUUUCUGGAGCACUGGAACAGGCUACCCAGAGAGGUUGUGGAGUCUCCUUCUCUGGAGAUAUUCAAAACCCACCUGAACGCCAUCCUGUGCAACCUGCUGUAGGUGAUCCUGCUGUAGCAGGGGAGUUGGACUAGAUGAUCUCCUGAGGUCCCUUCCAACCUCUACCAUUCUGUGAUUCUGGGAUUCUGGGAUUUCUCUUUAUAGGACGUGGAAUAGAGUUCAGCACUUUUUUGUUGGCCAUGACUGUAGCAUCUUAGCCCUUUGUAACACUUAAAAAGUAGUGUUGUUUUCAGUUUUGGUUUUGGUUUCUAUGGUUCUUCAGUUCUCUUUCUACACGUUUUUAUGGUUAUUGUGUUCUCUACACUUUACUACAGCAUUAUCUGAGUGCUUGUUCAAUGUUGAAGGUGAUCAUCACGUUAGGUAGUGAUUUGCAUUUUUAAUUAAGGAGAAAAAUGGAAGCCAACUGGGCUUUGAUAAAACAUGGCUAAUUUAAUUAGCUUAUUUUUAUCUUAUUCAUACUGUUAUAGCAAUCAUUAAUAAUAUGGAUAUUGAGAGUAAAAAAAUCUAUUUCUUUUGCUGUGAGGUCUAAGGUUAACAAUUUUACCUUUUUAGUACAUUUUCUAAUUUUUUGUGUUAAAUUGUGUACAUUUGAUAAUAACAUAAAAUGACUUGAACGAAGACUGACAUGAAAUUGAACACAGAUUGGGAAGAAGUCACGUGGGUUACUGAGUUCAGAGUACUGUCAUACAGCAGUAUGUUAAACUAGCUAGAUUUUAAUUGUGGGAUCAAGGAGCAUUUCCCACAUCCCAGGUCGAAGUCAGUUGUCAGUCAGGGCAAGACUUUGGGAAUUCACCUUUCUUCCUACUCUCGACAAUGUAUUGGUCUCUAGGGAGAAACUUGGACAUGCAUUGUCUCUACUCCAGAUCAUGGGAGGUCCAGAACACUGGACUUCUUAUGGAAAAACACAUGCCCUGCAAUUUAGACUUGAACAAUGUGUCUACCACAAGUUACAAUGCAUCUGCAAGCCUUAUAACUAAAAGCCUACACUGGAAUUCAUUAAGAAAAGGCAAGGACUGCUAAUUAUUUAUAUUGUGAUUUGAAAAUAAAAUCAGUAAGUGACAUAUGAAAUUUUUUUGCUUUACAGGUUGGUCUGCAUAGGGAAGAGUGAAG